GUCUGUGCGAGCUGCAACGGUGCUAUUACGAUGUGUAGCUUGAUCGUGUGUUUUUAUGUUUGCUGUAAUGAAACGGGACGUAGUUAGCGUGCACAAAAGUGCCAGAAGAUACCUUGUGUCUCGCUGCAAACUCGCCGUGUGCGUGGCGCGCCAGGCAAAUGUGGACCAACGAUUUUCAUGCCGUGGCCUUUGUCUGCUUGUCGUGGAAAGUUUGGUGGACGUCGAAAAGAAAUAAUGCGUGUUGUUAGCGUGCCUCAGCUCGUCCACUACGCAGCGACAUCUAUGAUGGGAGUAAUGUCGUCGACGCAGCACCGGCAACUUGGAGAGCAUCGUACCAUUGAAAAGUGGUGAGACCGUGACCCUAUAGCAGUGUCCACAUAAUGGCAGGGAAAUGCAGGGAUCCCGCAGCCAUGGCUACAGCAGCACGGCGUGUAAUCUGGAUGUCAUGUCAGGGUACACAUGCACUCACUUCAAGACGACGACCCUCCACCUCAAAAACAGUCUCUCCUCAAAGACUAGCAGGGAGUUUAAAUGAAAGGAAAAUAUCACAUCAAUAACCAGACAGAUACUAUGUGUUCCUUACAUUUAACCUCCUUCUGUCUUUAAG
Molecule: long non-coding RNA, 607 nt
Organism: Dermacentor silvarum
Lineage: Eukaryota; Metazoa; Arthropoda; Arachnida; Ixodida; Ixodidae
Exons: 3
Source: RefSeq, a predicted model, not a curated record